GAUGAGAACGUAGCGAAAUGCGAUAAGUAGUGUGAAUUGCAGAAUUCAGUGAAUCAUCGAAUCUUUGAACGCACAUUGCGCCCCUUGGUAUUCCAUGGGGCAUGCCUGUUCGAGCGUCAUUUGUACCUUCAAGCUUUGCUUGGUGUUGGGUGUUUGUCUCGCCUUUGCGUGUAGACUCGCCUUAAAAUAAUUGGCAGCCGGCGUAUUGAUUUCGGAGCGCAGUACAUCUCGCGCUUUGCACUCAUAACGACAGCGUCCAAAAGUACAUUUUACACUCUUGACCUCGGAUCAGGUAGGGAUACCCGCUGAACUUAAGCAUAUCAAUAAGCGGAGGA
RNAcentral lists this unclassified non-coding RNA (335 nucleotides) under soil metagenome. Its description in RNAcentral is "partial contains 5.8S ribosomal RNA, internal transcribed spacer 2, and large subunit ribosomal RNA". The stretch from base 5 to 119 matches the Rfam family "5.8S ribosomal RNA", at positions 40 to 154 of the family's 154-position model. The record is from RNAcentral.